CCUACGGUAGGCUGCAGUGAGGAAUAUUUGUCAAUGGACGCAAGUCUGAACCAGCAAUGCCGCGUGCAGGAAGACGGCUCUAUGAGUUGUCAACUGCUUUUGUACGAGGGUAAAUCCCUAUACGUGUAUCGGGUUGAAAGUACUUUACUAAUAAUGAUCGGCUAACUCCGUGCCAGCAGCCGCGGUAAUAAGGAGUAUCCAAGCGUUAUCCGGAUUUAUUGGGUUUAAAGGGUGCGUAGGCGGAUUUAUAAGUUAGAGGUGAAAUGUCCGGGCGCAACUCGGGAACUGCCUCUAAUACUGUUGAUCUAGAGAGUAGAUGCGGUAGGCGGAAUGUAUGGUGUAGCGGUGAAAUGCUUAGAGAUCAUACAGAACACCGAUUGCGAAGGCAGCUUACCAAUCUAUAUCUGACGUUGAGGCACGAAAGCGUGGGGAGCAAACAGGAUUAGAUACCCUUGUAGUC
This 460-nucleotide ribosomal RNA is filed under the name uncultured bacterium. RNAcentral's name for it is "partial 16S ribosomal RNA". It matches the Rfam family "Bacterial small subunit ribosomal RNA", at positions 338 to 795 of the family's 1533-position model. The record is from RNAcentral.